CGGUUAAGUUAGAAAGGGCGCACGGUGGAUGCCUUGGCACUAGGAGCCGAUGAAGGACGGGACGAACACCGAUAUGCUUCGGGGAGCUGUAAGCAAGCUUUGAUCCGGAGAUUUCCGAAUGGGGAAACCCACCACUCGUAAUGGAGUGGUAUCCAUAUCUGAAUACAUAGGAUAUGAGAAGGCAGACCCGGGGAACUGAAACAUCUAAGUACCCGGAGGAAGAGAAAGCAAAUGCGAUUCCCUGAGUAGCGGCGAGCGAAACGGGACCAGCCCAAACCAAGAGGCUUGCCUCUUGGGGUUGUAGGACACUCUGUACGGAGUUACAAAGGAACGAGGUAGAUGAAGAGGUCUGGAAAGGCCCGCCAUAGGAGGUAACAGCCCUGUAGUCAAAACUUCGUUCUCUCCUGAGUGGAUCCUGAGUACGGCGGAACACGUGAAAUUCCGUCGGAAUCCGGGAGGACCAUCUCCCAAGGCUAAAUACUCCCUAGUGACCGAUAGUGAACCAGUACCGUGAGGGAAAGGUGAAAAGCACCCCGGAAGGGGAGUGAAAGAGAUCCUGAAACCGUGUGCCUACAAGUAGUCAGAGCCCGUUAACGGGUGAUGGCGUGCCUUUUGUAGAAUGAACCGGCGAGUUACGAUCCCGUGCAAGGUUAAGCAGAAGAUGCGGAGCCGCAGCGAAAGCGAGUCUGAAUAGGGCGAAUUGAGUACGUGGUCGUAGACCCGAAACCAGGUGAUCUACCCAUGUCCAGGGUGAAGUUCAGGUAACACUGAAUGGAGGCCCGAACCCACGCACGUUGAAAAGUGCGGGGAUGAGGUGUGGGUAGGGGUGAAAUGCCAAUCGAACCUGGAGAUAGCUGGUUCUCUCCGAAAUAGCUUUAGGGCUAGCCUCAAGGUAAGAGUCUCGGAGGUAGAGCACUGAUUGGACUAGGGGCCCCUACCGGGUUACCGAAUUCAGUCAAACUCCGAAUGCCGAUGACUUAUCCUUGGGAGUCAGACUGCGAGUGAUAAGAUCCGUAGUCGAAAGGGAAACAGCCCAGACCGCCAGCUAAGGUCCCAAAGUAUACGUUAAGUGGAAAAGGAUGUGGAGUUGCUUAGACAACCAGGAUGUUGGCUUAGAAGCAGCCACCAUUUAAAGAGUGCGUAAUAGCUCACUGGUCGAGUGACUCUGCGCCGAAAAUGUACCGGGGCUAAACGUAUCACCGAAGCUGCGGACUGUUCUUCGAACAGUGGUAGGAGAGCGUUCUAAGGGCUGUGAAGCAAGACCGGAAGGACUUGUGGAGCGCUUAGAAGUGAGAAUGCCGGUAUGAGUAGCGAAAGAGGGGUGAGAAUCCCCUCCACCGAAUGCCUAAGGUUUCCUGAGGAAGGCUCGUCCGCUCAGGGUUAGUCGGGACCUAAGCCGAGGCCGAAAGGCGUAGGCGAUGGAUAACAGGUUGAUAUUCCUGUACCACCUCCUCACCAUUUGAGCAAUGGGGGGACGCAGGAGGAUAGGGUAAGCGCGGUAUUGGAUAUCCGCGUCCAAGCAGUUAGGCUGGGAAAUAGGCAAAUCCGUUUCCCGUGAAGGCUGAGCUGUGAUGGCGAGCGAAUUAUAGUAGCGAAGUUCCUGAUUCCACACUGCCAAGAAAAGCCUCUAGCGAGGUGAGAGGUGCCCGUACCGCAAACCGACACAGGUAGGCGAGGAGAGAAUCCUAAGGUGAUCGAGAGAACUCUCGUUAAGGAACUCGGCAAAAUGACCCCGUAACUUCGGGAGAAGGGGUGCUCUGUUAGGGUGAAAGCCCGAGAGAGCCGCAGUGAAUAGGCCCAGGCGACUGUUUAGCAAAAACACAGGUCUCUGCGAAGCCGUAAGGCGAAGUAUAGGGGCUGACGCCUGCCCGGUGCUGGAAGGUUAAGAGGAGCGCUUAGCGUAAGCGAAGGUGCGAAUUGAAGCCCCAGUAAACGGCGGCCGUAACUAUAACGGUCCUAAGGUAGCGAAAUUCCUUGUCGGGUAAGUUCCGACCCGCACGAAAGGCGCAACGAUCUGGGCACUGUCUCAACGAGAGACUCGGUGAAAUUAUAGUACCUGUGAAGAUGCAGGUUACCCGCGACAGGACGGAAAGACCCCGUGGAGCUUUACUGCAGCCUGAUAUUGAAUGUUGGUACAGCUUGUACAGGAUAGGUAGGAGCCUUGGAAACCGGAGCGCCAGCUUCGGUGGAGGCAUCGGUGGGAUACUACCCUGGCUGUAUUGACCUUCUAACCCGCCGCCCUUAUCGGGCGGGGAGACAGUGUCAGGUGGGCAGUUUGACUGGGGCGGUCGCCUCCUAAAAGGUAACGGAGGCGCCCAAAGGUUCCCUCAGAAUGGUUGGAAAUCAUUCGCAGAGUGUAAAGGCACAAGGGAGCUUGACUGCGAGACCUACAAGUCGAGCAGGGACGAAAGUCGGGCUUAGUGAUCCGGUGGUUCCGCAUGGAAGGGCCAUCGCUCAACGGAUAAAAGCUACCCCGGGGAUAACAGGCUUAUCUCCCCCAAGAGUCCACAUCGACGGGGAGGUUUGGCACCUCGAUGUCGGCUCAUCGCAUCCUGGGGCUGUAGUCGGUCCCAAGGGUUGGGCUGUUCGCCCAUUAAAGCGGUACGCGAGCUGGGUUCAGAACGUCGUGAGACAGUUCGGUCCCUAUCCGUCGCGGGCGCAGGAAAUUUGAGAGGAGCUGUCCUUAGUACGAGAGGACCGGGAUGGACGCACCGCUGGUGUACCAGUUGUUCUGCCAAGGGCAUCGCUGGGUAGCUAUGUGCGGACGGGAUAAGUGCUGAAAGCAUCUAAGCAUGAAGCCCCCCUCAAGAUGAGAUUUCCCAUUCCGCAAGGAAGUAAGAUCCCUGAAAGAUGAUCAGGUUGAUAGGUCUGAGGUGGAAGUGUGGCGACACAUGGAGCUGACAGAUACUAAUCGAUCGAGGACUUAACCAAUUU
This 2934-nucleotide ribosomal RNA is filed under the name Bacillus amyloliquefaciens. RNAcentral's name for it is "23S ribosomal RNA". It matches the Rfam family "Bacterial large subunit ribosomal RNA". The record is from RNAcentral. RNAcentral also lists the same sequence under 2 other names. Lineage: Bacteria; Bacillati; Bacillota; Bacilli; Caryophanales; Bacillaceae.